AUACGUAGGUGGCAAGCGUUGUCCGGAUUUACUGGGUGUAAAGGGGGCGCAGGCGGGAAGCUAAGUUGGAUGUGAAAUACCGGGGCUCCACUCCGGAGCUGCAUCCAAAACUGGUUUUCUUGAGUGGAGUAGAGGCAAGCGGAAUUCCGAGUGUAGCGGUGAAAUGCGUAGAUAUACGGAGGAACCCCAGUGGCGAAGGCGACUUGCUGGGCACUAAGUGACUCUGAGGCCCGAAAGCGUGGGGAUCAAACAGGAGUAGAUACCCUGGUAGUCCACGCCGUAAACGAUGAUUACUAGGUGUGGUGGGUCUGACCCCUUCCGUGCCGCAGUUAACGCAAUAAGUAAUCCCCCUGGGGAGUAAGGCAGCAAGGCUGAAACUCAAAGGAAUUGACGGGG
RNAcentral lists this ribosomal RNA (396 nucleotides) under uncultured bacterium. RNAcentral's name for it is "partial 16S ribosomal RNA". It matches the Rfam family "Bacterial small subunit ribosomal RNA", at positions 523 to 918 of the family's 1533-position model. The record is from RNAcentral.